This 580-nucleotide ribosomal RNA is filed under the name Streptomyces sp. A6(2012). RNAcentral's name for it is "bacterial SSU rRNA". It matches the Rfam family "Bacterial small subunit ribosomal RNA", at positions 88 to 682 of the family's 1533-position model. The record is from RNAcentral. Lineage: Bacteria; Bacillati; Actinomycetota; Actinomycetes; Kitasatosporales; Streptomycetaceae.
UGGAUUAGUGGCGAACGGGUGAGUAACACGUGGGCAAUCUGCCCUUCACUCUGGGACAAGCCCUGGAAACGGGGUCUAAUACCGGAUAACACUCUCCUCCUCCUGGGGGUGGGUUAAAAGCUCCGGCGGUGAAGGAUGAGCCCGCGGCCUAUCAGCUUGUUGGUGGGGUAAUGGCCUACCAAGGCGACGACGGGUAGCCGGCCUGAGAGGGCGACCGGCCACACUGGGACUGAGACACGGCCCAGACUCCUACGGGAGGCAGCAGUGGGGAAUAUUGCACAAUGGGCGAAAGCCUGAUGCAGCGACGCCGCGUGAGGGAUGACGGCCUUCGGGUUGUAAACCUCUUUCAGCAGGGAAGAAGCGCAAGUGACGGUACCUGCAGAAGAAGCACCGGCUAACUACGUGCCAGCAGCCGCGGUAAUACGUAGGGUGCGAGCGUUGUCCGGAAUUAUUGGGCGUAAAGAGCUCGUAGGCGGUCUGUCACGUCGGAUGUGAAAGCCCGGGGCUUAACCCCGGGUCUGCAUUCGAUACGGGCAGACUAGAGUGUGGUAGGGGAGAUCGGAAUUCCUGGUGUAGCGGU